Molecule: long non-coding RNA, 2338 nt
Filed under: Helianthus annuus (common sunflower)
Lineage: Eukaryota; Viridiplantae; Streptophyta; Magnoliopsida; Asterales; Asteraceae
Description: hypothetical non coding rna
Source: RNAcentral
CCCACCACCGAUUGACCAAACCAUCCGCUAACACCACCAUCUCCCACACAACCGAUCGACCACCAAACCACCGUCUCCCACCACCCCUUCAACCUGCACCACUCGGCUAACACCACCGUCUCCCCACCACUGAUCGACCAUCCCUGCAACCUGCACCAUCCGGCUAACACCACCGCACCAUCCACCACACCUAACUCUUUUUUGAAAUGGUUUCGUUGGCCGUCAACGGUAAAUAUAUUCGAUUUUACUUACACUUGACUUGAUCUUGGUUAGUGUAGUUACUUGUCAAUUGAAAUCGGUAAUUAUGUGUAAAUGGUUUUGUAAUUAUUGGUAGAAAUAACAUCUAAUUAUGACAAAUAUGUAGUAGGUUAUGCUUAGGUUUGUUUUGGUAUGCUUUUGUAAAAAUAACAUAAUGAUAUCAAAAUUUGUUCUUGAAAUUCCCACGGGGAAGAUCUUUCAUACAUAUGCUUUUUCAUUACAUUGGUUUAGUUGCUCCAUGUUGCAACUUUAUCGGCUUAUAUGAAGAUCUCAAAUGACUUGUAAAUUUUAUGCAUAUCAAAUGUUUGAUGAAAUGCCUUAUGAGUUGGGGUUAAUUAUGACCAAUAGUUGCUAAUUAUUUUGCAUAGUUUUAAAAGUGAAAGCAAUUUAGAUUAUCUGUGACGGUUGCAAAGAGGGCGACGAUGGUGGUAGCAACGACGUAGGUGGUUGUGGUGGUCAGUGAGUCGAGUUGUUGGUGGUAAUGGUAAGUUUUAGCCAAGGUUUUCCCAUACUUUUUUUAUUUUAUUUCCACAAUGCAUUAACCUGUGUGGAUUCAUAGCAUGACCCCCGUUCAAGAUUUACGGGGGUCUCACUGGAACCAGGCUCUCUAUUUCUAUGAGGUUGAGGUAAUCCCAGUCUCGUUUUUAUUGCAAGUCAUGGGUUAGGGGUGAACGGGAGGCCGUUGGUGAUUAUUGCCACCGCUCGCCAGGCGAUUGCCAGCACGUGGGACCGGGACCUGGUGGAGGAUUGGUUUCCAGCCGUGGGUGACAAUGGGUGCCACACGGAGCCUCGGCCUCAUGAUGGUGGAGCCGACUUGGGAAGGGUGACACGGUCGGGUGGCUUAGUGGUGGCCAGGGUUUGCAUGGGGGUUCGGUGUGGGAGUAUGGGUCCAAACAGGCCAUUGGUGACCCGAUUGGGAGGUUGCAUGGGACUAGGGUUUCGUCGUUGAUAGGUUUUGAAUGCGUGAUUGGAUGUGGUUGUAAUCAUGGUUGUAGAAAUCGAUAGUUGCUAGUUUUGCCGGUGGGGUGGGGACCAUCAACCUAGCUUACAUACGAAUAGUGUGCCCAAAUUGAAAAUCUUGAUUUACAAAAUUGAAAUGCUCACUUACAUAUUAUGAGCUGAUCAUAUGAAUAAUCCAGUGGUAUUAUAUAAUUUUGUCAAAAAAAUUGUAAAAUAAUGAAGCCAUUUGGUUUUUUUAGAAACUUAAAAAACGUAAGUAUGUCAAUUACAAUUUGCAUUUUAGUAGCAAUAAGAAGACUAUGGAUAGCCGCGAGUGGUUAAGGAAGCAGAUGAUAUCAUGAAGCGUUCUGACUGGCGCAAUGAUCCUAAUGAUCUAAAAGAUUUGACAACGGUUGAGAAAAAAAAUUCGGUUUCUUUGUUACCUCUUCCUCUCUCAUCUGCCAACUGACAGGGAAAUGAGAAUGCAACCGGGACAAUGCUAGCAAAGAAGUUGAAAGCUAUGACACCAUGCGUCAGCCUAGAUAUGAUAUGUCCGGUUACACCCCUAUCAACUCUUUUAGAGGCUUAAAUAUGGAGCUUGAGUGUGAUGACAAUAGCGGUAUCUCGCGACAAGACAUGAUUGCUAUUAUGUGUUUUAUUCACUCAUGGGAGACGCCUACAAUUUCGAAAACGUUUCUGAGGGUGAUGUGUGUUUGAUGAAUGUGGGAUUACACCCCUAGUUUCUAGGGGGUGGGGGUGCACUUUUUUGUGCAUGAUAAAGUUUUCCACGCGUGGAAAAUGUAAACAAACCACCGCCACCCUACAAAAUUAACGAGUGAUACAUGGAUUCCGUUAUUUUUUUCACGCGUGAUGGAAGGAAUGAUGUGAGGGGGUGUGAGGGUUUAUCGUUGGGUGUUGUGAGUGAUGGACAUUUCCACUAAAAAAAGGUUGUGAGUGAUGGAAUAAUGGUUGAUGACAUGGUGAAAAUUGAUUGGAUGUUGUGACUUGUGAGUGAUAAGUGAUCACCACCCCCUCCCCCUAAAUCUUCCACCAUGGUACUCUAAUGAUAUUUCCAAGGGACUAUGAACCUGUUUAUGGUACAGUAAAAGAUUUUAUAUUCGAUGGUAUAUUUUAUGCGACU